This 314-nucleotide unclassified non-coding RNA is filed under the name plant metagenome. RNAcentral describes it as "partial contains 5.8S ribosomal RNA, internal transcribed spacer 2, and large subunit ribosomal RNA". The stretch from base 1 to 105 matches the Rfam family "5.8S ribosomal RNA", at positions 50 to 154 of the family's 154-position model. The record is from RNAcentral.
GAAAUGCGAUAAUUAAUGUGAAUUGCAGAAUUCAGUGAAUCAUCGAGUCUCUGAACGCACAUUGCGCCCCCUGGUAUUCCGGGGGGCAUGCCUGUCCGAGCGUCAUUGCUGCCCUCAAGCACGGCUUGUGUGUUGGGCUUCCGUCCCUGGCAACGGGGACGGGCCCAAAAGGCAGUGGCGGCACCAUGUCUGGUCCUCGAGCGUAUGGGGCUUUGUCACCCGCUCCCGUAGGUCCAGCUGGCAGCUAGCCUCGCAACCAAUCUUUUUAACCAGGUUGACCUCGGAUCAGGUAGGGAUACCCGCUGAACUUAAGC